RNAcentral lists this long non-coding RNA (628 nucleotides) under Homo sapiens (human). Its description in RNAcentral is "non-protein coding lnc-FMNL2-1:1". The record is from RNAcentral. Lineage: Eukaryota; Metazoa; Chordata; Mammalia; Primates; Hominidae.
CGGCGCGGCAGGGGGCGCGGUUACCCGUGGUUUUUCGCGUUGGACGACGGGCUCUGAGGGCCAAGUUCUUGUCACGAAUUUAGUUUGUUUCAGAGCGGCAGGACUCGUAGCUAGAGAACGAGGACCCACGACGCGUACGCGUUACAGUCCUGUUUCCCUAGAAACGGAGCUGCCGGCGCGGAGGUGGCUUUGAGAUUCUGCGAAAGACCUGACUGCUCUUCAACAAUUAUUGUGUUGCACCCUCCCAGGCGCCCAGUCCAAACCCCGUCAGAAUAACCACCCGGGACAGCGGUGGUCGAAGUAACUACGCCUAACUUUUCGCUUUCCAUCGUGUCCCCUCCAUAAAAACACUGCUGGGCCCCCGGAAUCCAAAGGCGAAGGAGGCACACUCCCUGCCUUAGACUUGUUGAGAGUUUUAUAGGGGCAGUGCAUAACGUACAUGAUGGUGUAUGACGAUUCGGAUGGUAGUACGAGUCAUAAACUCAAAUUCCAACAGCAUCCAGCCAGGACUUUUAAAAUUCCUUGCAACGCAAGUCUACUGGUGACAAAUUCCCUCAAAUUUUGUUUGCCUGAGAAAGUCUUUCGCCCUCACUGUUGAAGGAUAAUUUCACUGGAUACAGAAUUCUAG